RNAcentral lists this small RNA (106 nucleotides) under Rhodopseudomonas pentothenatexigens. RNAcentral's name for it is "Rhizobiales-2 RNA". It matches the Rfam family "Rhizobiales-2 RNA". Lineage: Bacteria; Pseudomonadati; Pseudomonadota; Alphaproteobacteria; Hyphomicrobiales; Nitrobacteraceae. The record is from RNAcentral. RNAcentral also lists the same sequence under 1 other name.
GGGAGCGGAAACCACCUCCCCAACGAGGCCGUAUUCGGCGCGAGCGCCCAUCCACCCCAGCGCCUGAUAUGGCUGUGACCCGCCCGGUUGUCCCCCCGGGCGGGUC